Equus caballus (horse) is the source of this 6290-nucleotide long non-coding RNA. NCBI's taxonomy places the organism in Eukaryota, Metazoa, Chordata, Mammalia, Perissodactyla, Equidae. The record is from Ensembl.
UCCCAGCAGGACUGAGCCUCAAUUGCCCACAGCAGGAAGCAGCUCAAUCAUGUACCCUUUAAUUGGCUCUCUCUGGAUCUGGGAUGCACUCCUGCUCCCUGGGAUCACUCCUCAAAAUAAACCAUCCGCUUGCUGUGGCAACCGGAAAGGCAAAGCCCCUGCUUUAAAGGAACGAGAGAUUUAAAUCUAGAGCUAGAGAGCGGCUCUAGACAACGGACAGCUGAAAAGAACAAACACAAUAAUAACAUCAUUUUGAUAGUUAGCAGGGCCUUGGAAAAAUUAAACGUGGUCAAGUGGUAGAGCAUGACGGGUAAAAUUGCAUUUAGUGGUUCACAGGUCUCAACAUACAACAGAACCACUUGGAGGGCUUGAAAACACAGAGGCACCUGGGCCCCACACCAGAUUUCCUUAAUUAGCGGACCUGAGUGGGGGCCUCAGAAGCUACUUGUUAGUCUCAGGUGAUGCCGAUGCUGGUGGUCUGGGGACUACGAAUUGAAAACCACUAGAUUAUUUAGAGCUGAAGCAUGAAAAGGAGCCAAGAGUACAAGGAACACAGAGAAGAGAAUCCAGGCAAAGACAUGAUAAACAGAACAAAGAUUUUAGAAGGAGAAGGAUUCGACUGGCUCAGCCUUAAGUGCAGCGAGGAAUACCUCAUCAUCUGAUGCUCAGCAAAAUUACUCAUGGGGAGAAAUACCAGUUCUACAAAAGCACCAAGGAGAAAAAGAGUGUCAUUGAACUUGUUCCUCUCUUCCUGUGUUUUUUAUAAACCAAGAUUUGGAACGAAUGCCUGGAUGAGCUGUGGGUUAAAAGGUUUCAGCAAUCACAUUCCAGAGGAGGAAAAUAAUGAAGUUAUGGGUCAAAUGUGUGGACAAUCUAUCAUCUUACCAAAGAUGCGAAGUGAACAUCUCAAAGAUAGCUGAUUUUUGCAAAUCUCUUCUACGUUGUCAAAACAAGGUUAUUCUGUUGGCAUUUCUAUCUAAGAGAUAAUUGGAAGAAAAUCACCAAGAAGACGACUACCAUAGCAUGGUGUGCCAAGAGGUGCCAUGUCCGCACCCGGGAUCCGAACUGAUGAACCCCAGGCCGCCGAGAAGUGAAAUGUGCUAACUUAACCGCUGCACCACCUGGCCGGCCCCUGCCAAGUCCCUUUUGCCAUGUAAAGUAACAUAUACACAGAUUUCUUGGAUUUGGAUAUGGUCAUGAUUCCAAAAACAAAUUGGAAGAAGUUGGGUGGCAUCUUCUGAUAUUAGACCUACUGGCCCACUUGAAAUAUUUUUAUGGCCCUGUAACUCUGAGGCCCAUGCUUAAAAGACUUUGUAAAAUAUUUCCCAAAGAGACGACAGUCAACAUGCAUUGAAUUAACUGAACCAGCUAACAGGUUCCACUGAGGAGGCCAAAAGUGGAAUCCCAAUGUUGUUUUGGAUGAUUAUCCUGAUUACCAAAGGGAAAUAGAUUUUGCUACACCAUGGAGGCAUGGAGGAAUAUGGAAGAAAAUAAUCAUCUGAGGAAAAAGCUGACGAAACAUGCUCACCCAUCCCAGACAGAUCACCAAGAGUUCGUUUCCUUCAGAAAUUACAAUUGAGUUAUCAACCUAAGAAAGCUUGUGGGGGGGGGGAAAGUCAUACUGCUGAUUGACUAGUCAAUGGAGGAAGAAAGUUCUAAGUAACAAAUGUCACUAAAAUUCCAUGACGAGUUGCAGAAAUGCAGAGUAUACCACCCACUUCCCUUUCCUUUUAUCAGAUCUUAUACCACAUAGUUUAAUUUUUCUUUUAAUUAUUUCUUCCACAUUAUUUUAUAUAUAUUUUACUAUACUUAUAAUUUAUGGUAUAUAUUAAAUAAUAUUGAGGCAGAAUUAUUAUUUUUUAAUUAAUUAAUUUGUUUUCGGAUGUACAUCAUAAUAUAUUUCAAAUUCUGUGUACAUUACAUCAUGUUCACCACCCAAAAACUAAUUAUAGUUCAUCCCUUCACAUGUGAGCCUAAUCACCCCUUUUUCCCUCCCCCCACUUCCCCUAUGGUAGCCACCAAUCCAAUCUCCAAUGCUAAGUGUUUGUUUGUCAUUGUUUUUAUCUUCUACUUAUGAAUGAGAUCAUAUGGUAUUUACUUUCUCCCUCUGACUUAUUUCACUCAGCAUAAUACCCUCAAGGUCCAUCCAUGUUGUGACAAAUGGCCGGAUUUCAUCAUUUCUUAUGGCUGCGUAGUAGUCCAUCAUGUAUAAAUACCACAUCUUCUUUAUCCAUUCGCCCCUUGAUGGGCACCUAGGUUGCUUCCAUGUCUUGGCUAUUGUGUAUAAUGCUACAAUGAACAUAGGGGUGUAUGUAUCUUUAUGCCUUUGCGUUUUCAAGUUCUUUGGAUAAAUACCCAGCAGUGGGAUAGCUGGAUCAUAUGGUAGAUCUAUUCUUAAUUUUCUGAGGAUACUCCAUACUGCUUUUCAUAGUGGCUGCACCAGUUUGCACUCCCACCAGCAGUGAACAAGGGUUUCCUUCUCUCCGCAUCCUCUCCAACAUUUGUUGUUUCCUGUCUUGUUAAUUAUAGCCAUUCUGACCUGAGUGAGGUGAUACCUCAUUGUAGUUUUGAUUUGCAAACCAUAUAUACCUGACAGGGGGUUAAUAUCCAAAAUAUACAAAGAACUCAUACAGCUCAGCAACAAAAACACCACCAAUCCAGUUAAAAAAUGGGCAAAAGAUCUGAACAGAGAUUUCUCCAAAGAAGAUAUACGGAUGGCCAACAGGCAUGUGAAAAGAUGCUCAACGUCAUUAGCUAUCAGGGAAAUGAGGCAGAAUUAUAAUAAAUAUAAAGAAAUCUGAGCUUGAAACUAAAUUCAGUGUUUGAACAUUGGAUUGUAUCCUUACAGAAUCAUUGGGGUGAGGUUUUGGUUGUACAAGAAGUAGUUUAAUUAGGUUUAGAGGAGAUAUUUUUAUAUAAAUAUAGCAAGAAGGACAUAUUCACUGGGGAGGUCAUUGUGUGGAUUCUAAUGUAUGUUUUUCAGGCCAUCAGAUCUUACCUAUUUCAAUGGAAAGCAGAGGAAUUCCUCCAACCACUGAAGAAAAUUGUGUGGUUGUGGAGGAGUUGGAAGACAGGUGCUCUCUUUGUUUAGCUGAAGUUGGGGGACACAUGAUCCAAGCAAAUGAAAUAAUACAUCCCUACCCAAGGAUGUGUACCAUAAGGAAGUGAAGGAAAAGCUGAGUGUCAUUUACAGAUUAUGACAGCAGGUAGCUGAGAGAAGACAGGCACAGUUGAGAGUGUCUAGGGGGCAAAGUGCGGCCACAUAGUGGCGAACAUGUCAGGGGGGACACCAGUGACAUUACCCUAAUUGGCCAAUAUCUGUGACCGCAUGUUCAUGCCUACUCCUGCUUCUACAGUGUUUAUGACCAUUCAAAAAUAUACCCGAGGAAAUUCUAAUAAACUCUUUUUAUGCUAUAGUAUUUAAAAAGUAGCUUGAGUAAUUUGCAACUAUAAAAUCUAUCUUGAACACAUAACAUUAUAUAUUGGAUAGUGAAUGCUUGGCAAGAAUCCCAGUGCUAUUUUUUUUGCACAUUGGAAAUACAGAGAGAUGAAGUCAGAAUUUAACCUCUACGGAAGGAUGAGGAAGGAGGAAAAAAACAUAAACGAAGUAGGAGCUCAAUUAUAGUGGCAAGUUCCUGGGUGUCAGGAAAAGACCCAAGACGGACUUUAAAUAGGAGAGGAAUAAAGGAAGUUGAUUUUGGCUCCAAGCAAGUGCUGCCAGAUAUUAGAAAAGUUUUGAGGGCUUCAGUGCAAAAGUGAACAGUGAUGCAGCGAAUGCAAUCUGCGUUGCCACAGUGGUGCUAUGUUACAGGGUUUGCCCUACUAAUGCUUUAAAGGAAGGAGUUCAUAAAACUGUUCAUCCAAAUGGGAGCAUUUUUAAGAAUGAGAGGUGGCUUUAUUAAUAAUUAUACCUUUGCAAUAACAUAAAUUAGGACUGUCCCUGAAAACCAGAAUACAAAUUCAACUCAGUUAUUCAGCUCAAUAAACCAGGAGAAUUAUUUACUGAGUGCCCUGUUCUGUCUAAAUAAUCACAGGAUUAGCAAUGGUAAAUAAUAGAUUAUUCACCUUUCCUGGAAAAAUGUAAUUUCUAAUAGAGAGAACAAGGAAGUGAACAGCAAACUAAUAGGAAAGGCAGAAAUUUAUUAAAGUUAUAAGAUAAUUGAAAUUUUUCUUAAAAAGUAUGGAAGAAUACAGAAAGGAGAUAGCAUGUUUGCAUGGUAAGGAGAAGGAUUGCAGGAGUGGCUUACUGACAAGGUGGAUAGGUGAAAGCAUCAUUUCAGCUGGAUUUUGAAAGAGGUUGAUGAAUAUUUUUAUUAUUUUCCAGAUAUGAAAAUCUUUUCACAUGUUCCCUUCUUAAAUACAGCUACAUGAAAAUCCAUGUAGGAAAUCCACCAGGAUGUGCUUUCAUAUAAUUUCUCACUUUUUAAUCUCACAGCAUGCUGUUUUCGCGGUCUACAUUUCCUAAAUAAUUUCAGAAUGAGUAUAAAAUUCCUAACCAAGCAUCAUCUCAUGAAAUCAUUCUGAAUGCCCCUUCUAACACUUAUUGGUUUAAUACAGCUUCCUUUGUACUGCCGUAGUACAUUUUACAAGUCUUUUUCCACGUACACGUAAUGAUUAGGGUAGAAGGUUUGACAUACACACGCACACAAACACACACAAACUUGAUAGUGGCUUCCAAAUAGAUUGUGAAAGAAAGUGAUGAUUGUUUACAUGGAUUAUGAAAGAGAAUAAGCCAAAGUAUUCAUAUCAAUCAAAAUGCAUUAAUAAUGUAUUAGUAGCAAUCAUGUCAACAUUUGUUAAUGUAUGUAUACAGAGGAAAUAUUUUAAAGUUUAACAUCUAAGAAUAAAUUGGUGCUCUGUUAUGAAUCCCCAAAGAAAAUUAGGUGUAGAACCAAUGUCGUUUAUUUAUUAAGGUACACAUGUUUAUAUUAACUGCUAUGAGCCAUCCAAUGUUCACAAUGUUGGGGGUAUAUAAGUGAACAAAAAGAUAAAAAAAUAAAAUCCUAUAUUUUUCAGAGUUUAUAUUCUUUUGUAGGAGAUAGAUAUUAAACCAUAAAUGUGAUAAAUUCUAUUGACAUGACAAGGACCCUGGAUAAGGAGAAACAAUAAUAGAGGGAAGCAAGGAGGAUUGCGAGAGUUGUUAGAAAGAAUCGCUUCAUCAUCUCCCUCAUCCGUCCUAAGGACAAGCCUCUUUGAGAAGUUGACAUGUGAGUAAAGACUUGAGAGAACCAGAAGUCCGAUGGGAAGAACAAUUUCUAGAAGAGAAAAUAGCCAGUGCAGAACUCUGGGCCAGGAGCCCAUCUGCGAUUUUGAGGGAGGGAAGGAGGCCAGUGAGCUGGAGUAGAGUAGCAGGAGAUAAGGUCAGAGAAUUAAAGAAGGAAAAAAAGUGUAAGGCCUUAUAGACCAUUAAAAGGAUGGUGGCUUUGACCCUAAAUAAAAUGGGAAACCAUUGGAAGUUACUGAGCAAGAAACAUGAUCCAACUGAGUCUGUAAGCUUCGUUCUGGCUGCUUCAGUGAGGACAGACUGCAGGGCUGAAAGGGUGGAAGAAGGGAGACUUGUCAGGAGCUGUUCCCAGUUAGGGCAGCUAUGCUGGCAAUAUCCAGUACUUAUGUCCAUGCUGUUUGCUCGUUUGCAGCCUGGGCUCAGAGCUUUGUGACUGAGUUCUGCCGUGACAGAAAGCCCUGACUCUCUCCUAUUCUCCCCUCCUCUCAUGCCCUCAGUCUCUUUCAGCUUCUCUUUCCCUUUAGUCUUACUCUCUUUGCUUCCACUCCUUACUGCCCCUCAGUGUGAUAUUCUCUCCUUCCUCCUAAUCCUUUCCCACUUUUCCCUUCCCUUCUUUCUUUCCUGUUGCAGGCAUUUAAAAGGAGAUCUAGCUAAAAGCUAUAAAAUCAAGUUUCAUAGAGCCAAUAUUCUCUGCUUGCUUUCUUGACUAUGUCUAUUUCUUGUUUGUAUGGGAGUCAAUGAAAUUAUCUGCUACAUUUAAAUUAGAGAAUUUACAUUUAUUUAAAAACAAUAAAAUGCAAUAUAUAGCUAUUGGCUUGGUUGAUUAAGGGCAAUAAACCAUAAUGUAUUAAUCUUUAUGUCUCUUCUACCUAACACUGUGCUGACACACUGUAGUUUCUCAUUAACAUUGAUGAAUAAAAGAAAUGAGUAUUUUAUCUAAUUAUGCCUAUCUUUUUUCAAACAGUACAUUAAGGGCUUGUUAUCUACUUAAGGCAAUCCUGCUGUUCUCAAUAUUAUGAUCAUUACCUAGAGAUAUUAAGCCACAAGGUUACAUUUAAAUUAUGAA